UCAAAGAUCCCUUCGGGAUGAUUUGUUGGACGCUAGCGGCGGAUGGGUGAGUAACACGUGGGCAAUCUGCCCUAAAGACUGGGAUACCACUUGGAAACAGGUGCUAAUACCGGAUAACAACAUGAAUCGCAUGAUUCAAGUUUGAAAGGCGGCGCAAGCUGUCACUUUAGGAUGAGCCCGCGGCGCAUUAGCUAGUUGGUGGGGUAAAGGCCUACCAAGGCAAUGAUGCGUAGCCGAGUUGAGAGACUGAUCGGCCACAUUGGGACUGAGACACGGNCCAAACUCCUACGGGAGGCAGCAGUAGGGAAUCUUCCACAAUGGACGCAAGUCUGAUGGAGCAACGCCGCGUGAGUGAAGAAGGUUUUCGGAUCGUAAAGCUCUGUUGUUGGUGAAGAAGGAUAGAGGCAGUAACUGGUCUUUUAUUUGACGGGUAAUCAACCAGAAAGUCACCGGCUAACUACGUGCCAGCAAGCCGCGGUAAUACCGUAGGUGGCAAGCGUUGUCCCGGAUUUAUUGGGCCGUAAAGCGAGCGCAGGCGGAAUGAUAAAGUCUGAUGGUGAAAGCCCACGGCUCAACC
This 577-nucleotide ribosomal RNA is filed under the name Lactobacillus delbrueckii. Its description in RNAcentral is "bacterial SSU rRNA". It matches the Rfam family "Bacterial small subunit ribosomal RNA", at positions 69 to 614 of the family's 1533-position model. The record is from RNAcentral. Lineage: Bacteria; Bacillati; Bacillota; Bacilli; Lactobacillales; Lactobacillaceae.